ACUCCUACGGGAGGCAGCAGUAGGGAAUCUUCCACAAUGGGCGCAAGCCUGAUGGAGCAACACCGCGUGAGUGAAGAAGGGUUUCGGCUCGUAAAGCUCUGUUGUUAAAGAAGAACACGUAUGAGAGUAACUGUUCAUACGUUGACGGUAUUUAACCAGAAAGUCACGGCUAACUACGUGCCAGCAGCCGCGGUAAUACGUAGGUGGCAAGCGUUAUCCGGAUUUAUUGGGCGUAAAGAGAGUGCAGGCGGUUUUCUAAGUCUGAUGUGAAAGCCUUCGGCUUAACCGGAGAAGUGCAUCGGAAACUGGAUAACUUGGGUGCAGAAGAGGGUAGUGGAACUCCAUGUGUAGCGGUGGAAUGCGUAGAUAUAUGGAAGAACACCAGUGGCGAAGGCGGCUACCUGGUCUGCAACUGACGCUGAGACUCGAAAGCAUGGGUAGCGAACAGGAUUAGAUACCCCUGGUAGGAUAGCG
Molecule: ribosomal RNA, 474 nt
Filed under: uncultured bacterium
Lineage: Bacteria
Description: bacterial SSU rRNA
Rfam family: Bacterial small subunit ribosomal RNA
Source: RNAcentral